This is a long non-coding RNA of Rhea pennata, 1599 nucleotides long. RefSeq lists it as uncharacterized. The transcript is spliced from 5 exons. NCBI's taxonomy places the organism in Eukaryota, Metazoa, Chordata, Aves, Rheiformes, Rheidae. The record is from RefSeq and is a predicted model, not a curated record.
GCGGGCGGAUGGGUAGAAGAAGGAGGCUCCCAGAGCCUCCUGAGGCCCCCUCCCCUCCCCCAGCCAGGCACAGCCUGAGAAACGUUGACGGGUGACGGCACAGCUGCCAAACCGAUUUUUUCUCUCUCUUCGCCUGAGCCGCCUCUCGGAACUCUCUGUAGGCGCAAGAUGCGGCUGGUCUGGGAUAACUGCGCUGUGCGCAAUGCUUCAGGGGAGCGUUAACAUGAAACUGCAGGCUAAGGAGUCGCCUAGUAAAAUAAAAGGCUCGGGAAAAGCCUAAGAGAGCACUGAUGGGCCCUGGGAAGCCCCAGGGAUGCUACAGAAAAGAGCCUGGCUUUUUUCAGGCACCUCCUCAGAGCAGAGAAAUGGCUUACCCCGGCCUGCGGGAGAAUGGGUGCUAUUAAUAACAGCCUUUCCUUACCACGGGCAUUGCGAAAGCAGAAGGGACUAGAGAGGAUGCGUAGCAGGUUAUGGACUCUCUGCAAAGUUUAAGCGAACAACAGUCCCCUCUUAAAGUAGAACCGGUUUUGUCCUAAGUAAUAGAUGAACGUGGCUGUGAGUAACGUGAAGAGAAGCGGUUGCGUCUGUCACCCUCGGGGCCUCGGGGAAGUAGCGUCUAAAACCCGGUACCCUCGUGGCCUCGUCAGCCUUCUCGGUCUGUCUGGCAGGGUAGUCCCCGGAAGGGGGCAUCUCCAAGAGAAGCGGCUAGACCCAGCGACCCAGCCGUUCGCUUUGGUCGCCGCCUGUGAGGCGAGCAUCCGAGCGCAACGGGAGUCCGUAUCAAAAAGAGCUGGAACCAACGACAGCAAAUGCUGACGGAGAGGGAAGCCGGACGAGCGGCAUGUAGGGGAUUAAUACCUAAGGGACGGGGUUGAAACGAGGAGGCAGAAACGCAGCGGACCCUCGGUAUCCCCGGCAGCUGCCACGGUAGCGGCAGGUGUUCCGCCACGGGCAAGUCAAGCAGGGAACGACGACGGGCUGUCGUGAAGAACUACAGGCUGCCGCCCUCCGACCUCGGCAGGUGAUGCGACGAGAGCAGCCGGGAGAAUCCGAAUGCCGGUUUUGGCAGGUUCUCUGCCUGGUGCUGACGAGGAGCCUUUGACAGCAGGAAGGUUGGCAGCGUCCGUACCUGAACCGUGGAGUACACACCUGCUUCUAGUCUCAGUUGAAGGACGGGUCGCCUAGCUCAGCGUCUAACAAACCCCACAACCGGCGGCCCGGUCGCUAUGGCGCUGCUGUUGCUAGCAGAGCCACCAGGUCUGUGUGAAGCCUUAGGUGCCUGCUUGGAGCAGUAUUUUGGUCUGCUCACCUGGAAGAAGCAGCGAGGCCUAAAAUAAGACUUUGUUGCGGCUACAUGGAGCUGAGUGCCCUCCCUGAAGGCAAAAGCGGAAGGGGUAGGUCGUCGGCUACUCGGACACCUGCCGCGUCAAGGGCGGCAGCGGGAGCUGACCCUUCCCCGACGGACGGACGGACGCCGGUGAGGACUCUUUGGGUGUCACAAGGUAAGGGAAAGCGUGCCGGCGUCCAGCUCGGUGGCAGGCUCGCUCCCAGGUGGUGUUUCUGCACUGCAAAACAAUAAACGGUUGCUUUAAUUCUUUG